This 1049-nucleotide long non-coding RNA is filed under the name Struthio camelus australis. Its description in RNAcentral is "lncRNA (ENSSCUG00000003227.1)". The record is from RNAcentral. Lineage: Eukaryota; Metazoa; Chordata; Aves; Struthioniformes; Struthionidae.
GCAGAUCUGUUGCCAAAUAAACCCUGGCCAAAUAAGCGUAUGCCAACUUCCUUAUGUUUCAGUUUAGGAAAGGGAGCGCUCCGAUUCUGUACACGUUCUUGUAUGCGAGAAACUUCAUGUACCUGUGGAGUGUUUGGCGAGCAAGAGCGUGGUGAGAACUGCGGGUGCACAAUCACAGCUCGGAGACAGACUGGGAAGGAGUACGUUAUUGGCAGGAUUUUAUUGGCAAGGUUAGUGUCGCUUAAGUGUAAGAUGGAAAGCCCUUAAUUUGGGUAGUGCUGGGCACCACUAUGGUUUUCAUAUGAGCAAACACAUUCACAUGAGCGUGUGGCCCAUGGUGAUAGAGGCAUGACUCACCUCGUCGUAGAGUCUGAUAACUCAUAACCUAAAAUGCCUGUUGCCUAUAAAAGGGGGUGACUAGGCAGAGGGGGGUCCAGUUGAGAGCCUGUUCCUAGCCCCAGGGCUAGGAUGGCUCCCACCUAACCUUAGACUUUCACUACAACAAUGUGUUAGGUGGGAGCCAUCCCAGCCCACGAACUGGGACUGCUGGUGCCCUUGGUCUUGGGUCACCUAUCUGGAGCGGGCAACAGUUUGCUACAUGGAGCAGCAGCAUCUCCACUCUCUCUCUUUGCUCAUGCUGCCCAAGCUCAGCUCUUGCUGCUCUCUUUAACUUUUUAACUUUUUUUUUUAAUUUCUGUAUUUAUUUUUUGAAAUAAUUCUUUCAUUCACCUCCUGUUUCAGACAAGGCAGCUGGUUUGGCUGUCACUAUGAGCUUGGGAGAGGCACUAUCAGAGUUUUUGACAUUUAUCUCAAAGGUCUGUAAUCAAUGCAAUUGUCUUGGGUGGGGAGUUAGAGCAAUCUGGUCACCAGUGGGUUUUGAAAUUGCUUUUCCUGUGAUUUAUGGUUUGAGAUUUCAGUCCAGCAUCUUAUGUAUGUGUGAUAUAGGCUGUGGGGCUGGAUCCAGUGAGUAGAAUUUAGGGCUGUUCAGGGCAGCAGGGUGAUUUAUAGAAAAGGACCUUAUUUAGAAAUAGAAAAAGACAGGCUGGAGA